UUAUACAACCUCAACUCAUAUGGGACUACCCCCUGAAUUUAAGCAUAUUAAUUAGGGGAGGAAAAGAAACUAACAAGGAUUUUCUUAGUAGCGGCGAGCGAAAAGAAAUCAGUUCAGCACUAAGUCACUUUGUCUUUAUGGCAAAUGUGAGAUGCAGUGUAUGGAACAUCAAUAAUUUAGUAUGAGAAAUUAACGAUUUAAGUCCUUCUUAAAUGAGGCCAUUUACCCAUAGAGGGUGCCAGGCCCGUAUAACGUUAAUGAUUACUUAGAUGAUGUUUCCAAAGAGUCGUGUUGCUUGAUAGUGCAGCACUAAGUGGGUGGUAAACUCCAUCUAAAACUAAAUAUAACCAUGAGACCGAUAGUAAACAAGUACCGUGAGGGAAAGUUGAAAAGAACUCUGAAUAGAGAGUUAAAUAGUACGUGAAACUGCUUAGAGGUUAAGCCCGAUGAACCUGAAUAUCCGUUAUGGAAAAUUCAUCAUUAAAAUUGUAAUAUUUAAACAAUAUUAUAAUGAUAGUGUGCAUUUUUUCCAUAUAAGGACAUUGUAAUCUAUUAGCAUAUAUAAAUUUAUCAAAAAAUGUUAACAUAAUGUUUACUUGGAUUAAAGUGCUUGCGCUUUAACAUAAAGUAAAAGUUAACAAUUUGAUAAAGUGCUGAUAGAUUUAUAUGAUUACAGUGCGGUAAUUCUUUAGAAUUAUAUAAUGGCAUAAUUAUCAUUGAUUUUUAUGUUUAUUAUAUGCACUUGUAUGAUUAACAAUGCGAAAGAUUCAGGAUACCUUCGGGACCCGUCUUGAAACACGGACCAAGGAGUCUAACAUAUGUGCAAGUUAUUGGGAUAUAAACCUAAUAGCGAAAUUAACUUGACUAUUAAUGGGAUUAGUUUUUUAGCUAUUUAUAGUUAAUUAACGCAAUCCCGGGGCGUUCUAUAUAGUUAUGUAUAAUAAUAUUUAUAUUAUUUAUACCUCUAACUGGAACGUACCUUGAUCAUAUAUGCUGUGAACCGAAAGAUGGUGAACU
This 1017-nucleotide ribosomal RNA is filed under the name Drosophila wassermani. Its description in RNAcentral is "eukaryotic LSU rRNA". It matches the Rfam family "Eukaryotic large subunit ribosomal RNA", at positions 1 to 832 of the family's 3401-position model. Lineage: Eukaryota; Metazoa; Arthropoda; Insecta; Diptera; Drosophilidae. The record is from RNAcentral.